This 450-nucleotide ribosomal RNA is filed under the name uncultured bacterium. RNAcentral's name for it is "partial 16S ribosomal RNA". It matches the Rfam family "Bacterial small subunit ribosomal RNA", at positions 354 to 796 of the family's 1533-position model. The record is from RNAcentral.
GUGGGGAAUUUUGGACAAUGGGCGAAAGCCUGAUCCAGCCAUGCCGCGUGUGUGAAGAAGGUCUUCGGAUUGUAAAGCACUUUAAGUUGGGAGGAAGGGCAGUAAGUUAAUACCUUGCUGUUUUGACGUUACCGACAGAAUAAGCACCGGCUAACUUCGUGCCAGCAGCCGCGGUAAUACGAAGGGUGCAAGCGUUAAUCGGAAUUACUGGGCGUAAAGCGCGCGUAGGUGGUUUUGUAAGUUGGAGGUGAAAUCCCCGGGCUCAACCUGGGAACUGCCUCCAAAACUGCAUGACUAGAGUACGGUAGAGGGUAGUGGAAUUUCCUGUGUAGCGGUGAAAUGCGUAGAUAUAGGAAGGAACACCAGUGGCGAAGGCGACUACCUGGACUGAUACUGACACUGAGGUGCGAAAGCGUGGGGAGCAAACAGGAUUAGAAACCCUAGUAGUCC